AGCGGCGGACGGGUGAGUAACGCGUGGGUAACCUGCCCUGUACACACGGAUAACAUACCGAAAGGUAUGCUAAUACGGGAUAACAUAAGAAAGUCGCAUGGAUUUCUUAUCAAAGCUUUUGCGGUACAGGAUGGACCCGCGUCUGAUUAGCUAGUUGGUAAGGUAACGGCUUACCAAGGCGACGAUCAGUAGCCGACCUGAGAGGGUGAUCGGCCACAUUGGAACUGAGACACGGUCCAAACUCCUACGGGAGGCAGCAGUGGGGAAUAUUGCACAAUGGGCGAAAGCCUGAUGCAGCAACGCCGCGUGAGCGAUGAAGGCCUUCGGGUCGUAAAGCUCUGUCCUCAAGGAAGAUAAUGACGGUACUUGAGGAGGAAGCCCCGGCUAACUACGUGCCAGCAGCCGCGGUAAUACGUAGGGGGCUAGCGUUAUCCGGAAUUACUGGGCGUAAAGGGUGCGUAGGCGGUCUUUCAAGUCAGAAGUGAAAGGCUACGGCUCAACCGUAGUAAGCUUUUGAAACUGUAAGACUUGAGUGCAGGAGAGGAGAGUGGAAUUCCUAGUGUAGCGGUGAAAUGCGUAGAUAUUAGGAGGAACACCAGUUGCGAAGGCGGCUCUCUGGACUGUAACUGACGCUGA
This 636-nucleotide ribosomal RNA is filed under the name uncultured Clostridium sp. RNAcentral's name for it is "bacterial SSU rRNA". It matches the Rfam family "Bacterial small subunit ribosomal RNA", at positions 94 to 749 of the family's 1533-position model. The record is from RNAcentral. Lineage: Bacteria; Bacillati; Bacillota; Clostridia; Eubacteriales; Clostridiaceae.